This 182-nucleotide ribosomal RNA is filed under the name uncultured bacterium. RNAcentral's name for it is "partial 16S ribosomal RNA". It matches the Rfam family "Bacterial small subunit ribosomal RNA", at positions 1320 to 1500 of the family's 1533-position model. The record is from RNAcentral.
AUGAAGCUGGAAUUGCUAGUAAUGGCAGGUCAGCAUACUGCCGUGAAUACGUUCCCGGGCCUUCGUGCACACCGCCCGUCCACACCAUGAGAGUUGGGAAUACCCGAAGCCUGUGAGCUAACUUAUAGAGGCAGCAGUCGAAGGUAGAAUCAAUGAUUGGGGUGAAGUCGUAACAAGGUAUC